CUCAGCCUCACCCAGCUCUCUCUCUCUCUCUCUCUCUCUCUCUCUCUCUCUCUCUCUCUCUCUCUCUCUCUUCACCGCACACUAAAACCCAAGGUUCUCCUCCAUGCGCUGCCAUGGCAUAGCCUAACGCUACCGCUUCACCACUAGUAACUCCCCCUCCUUCAAGUGACUACCCCCUUGGACUCCAGUCAACCCUAGCUCCUCCAUCAUCCUCCAUGCACAAACUAUCUCCCAUUGGGUUUCUCCCUCUCACACGGCCAUAGCGCCGCCAUGAGCUAGCCCUGCUGCCACACCCACAACCUCCCAUAGCCUCCUAGCACCUCCUUCUUUCCUUGCGCAACCCGUAGUAGCUUGGAAUAGUAAUCCCAAAUCCUCCCUCUACAUGACAAGAUCUCUAGAUCCACCACCGUGCACUACCACCACCAGCUCCCCAACACUCCUUUAGCUCCUCCAUGCCCAGACUUGACCUCCCCAUAGCUCCCCCUCCAUUUUUCGUGCUUCGAGACCUACAACCCACACUUGGAAAACCACUGUCCGCCACUGCUCCUCCACUUUUGGCAUCACCCUUGAUCUUCCAAAAUUUCCUUCCACCAUUGUAAGUAAUUUUCCAAAGAACUUUAUGAGACUUGAAGAUAUUUUUGCACUAACAUAUUUUCUAAAGUCUGGUUGGUUGUCCUGGACUUUAAGUUCGAGGAGUAUGGAUGUCAUAUUGGAUUAGAGAAUGGGACUGUUUGUGAAAAUGGGUUUAUGCUUGGUGUUUUUAUGUUAUGCUUGAUAUCAUGAUAUUCAUUGCAUUAUUUCAUGCAUGUUUAGGUGUUAUAAAUCAAAAUUGAGUUUUCAUGCGAGAAAGGAUUUUUGGGUUCAUGUGUAUCACGACCCCAAUCCGAGAUGGGGUAUUAUGUUGGUGAAGCUCUUCUGGUCACUCAAGAGUGUAAUAUACUGAGUGACUUCUCUUGGGUUGUCACUGGGUGACAACAGGAUCAGAUAAAAUGGUAACACUCUUGUGCCGACUCCGUGACCCCUCUGCUGACUGGGGUAAGAGGAUGCUUCGUCAUGAACACGUUGGGCGCAAAGCUAGGCAUUGCUCUUUACAAAGUCACACGCACGUGGUGUGACGAAGGGAGCCAAGAUGUGCGGAUGGUUCCUAGGGGAGAUCAUGGUGCAUAUAGAUUACUUGGAUAAUGGGUCAUUUUCUGGAAAAAUAGCAGUUUUUAAUAAAUGGAUAUGUGAGUCAUUUUCUGGAAAAAUGGUAGUUAAAUGAUUGGGCUAUUUUCUGGAAAAAUUGUGGGUGUUUAAUUUUAUGGAAUGGUUUUUGGCCAAAUGGGAAUUUUGGAGUGUGUUGAAAAGUAUUCAUUUUGGGGGAAACAAUGAUUUUAGGUCUCAUGCAUAUUAUAGCAUGUGCACACAUAUAUGUUGAUUGCAUUGAUAUAUUUUUAUCUCGUGAAUUGUUUGGUUGGUUACUUAAUGAGAUUCACAAUCUCACGUAGUAUUUUUCCCUAUGGUUUUAUUUUAUGGAAUCAUAGAUUUUGAUGUAGUCGAGUACGUUGAGCCUGAGGGAUCGGCUCCGCCGGAGGAGUGAGCUGUAAUAUCCAAGCCCAGGGCCCAAUACCCAGACCCAACCGCACGACAACCCACCCCUUACUUUUUUAGCCGGUGUCAUUUUAGUGAGUAACCUCCCUUCAGUUAUUCUUCUUCUUCCUUCCAAGAUUUAUUCCCCCAUUUUCUUCUCAAAGAUUUUUUUCACCUCACUUUCACAUUUCCGCAGUUACUCCAUCUCUUGAUUUUUUUUUUAAGUUAACUUCCUCUUGUUUACCUCACUCGUAGAAGACCCUCAACUCCUCUUUGAUGAAAUUCUGGAAAAAUUAUGCUCCUCCAUGCCGUGCACCCCCAUUAAUUCGAGCUUUUGCAAGUUAAUUCUUUUCCUCUUUGGUUGUGACAAUGUUGAAGGUUAGACUCAGUGCUAAGAUUAAACGCUGCAAAAGUUGAGGCCCUGUCAUGGAUAUAAUAGUGGCAUAUGGCCUCACCAAGGGUACAAUGUGGCACAAUCCUGGCCCGGGGGUGAAACAUGGAAUACGGCCCAGCCACGAGUAUAAUGGUGGUUUAUAACCCUACAACGGGGGUGAAACAUGGUAUGUGGCCUAGCCAUGGGUAUAAUGGUGGUUUAUAACCCUACCACAUGAGUUAAACAUGGUAUCUGUCCUGAUAUGAUGCUCCCAUGAAAUAUGAAGAUGAUGUUUCAGUUUACAAUAUGCCAAAGGACUUUUGGAAUAAGAAAGCUUUUCUAAAAACUUUGCUUUGAUAUUUUGUAAUAUGUUUUGUUUUUUGCAUUUAGAAAGUGAUUGUUCAGAUUCUACAUUUUGAAAGUAAAGGUUUUGUUAUGCAUUCCAAACUUUGUAAUGCUCAUGUUUACAUACUAUUAUGGUUUCUAUUGAGUUGUUGAUAACUCACCCCCUUAUCUCCAUAACAUUUUUAGAUGACUUUGAUGAUACAAUUAAGGAUCGGUAAUAGAGUAUGUGAUAGGAAUAAUUGAGAGUGGUGGUUGAGUACCUUGGAGUACUAGUGUUGUUGGAAGAUUUAUUUAUUAAGUAAUUUGAUUUUAGUAUAUUUAGAUAUGAUUAUAAAGACUUAAGUAUUAUUUAAGUUCAUUAUGUUAAUAGAGACAUGUGGAGAAGUUAAUUUAUUUUAUUUAGAUUAUUGUAUUGUGGAAUUGAUGGAUUGAUAUGUGUAGUUAAUUAUAUUAGAGGAAAUUAUGUUUGAUUUUGGAGUCUUUACAAAUAUAUUUUGGAUAUGAAAGAUAUGAUAG
This is a long non-coding RNA of Carya illinoinensis, 2803 nucleotides long. RefSeq lists it as uncharacterized. The transcript is spliced from 3 exons. The record is from RefSeq and is a predicted model, not a curated record. NCBI's taxonomy places the organism in Eukaryota, Viridiplantae, Streptophyta, Magnoliopsida, Fagales, Juglandaceae.